Molecule: non-coding RNA, 406 nt
Organism: Pelobates cultripes (western spadefoot toad)
Lineage: Eukaryota; Metazoa; Chordata; Amphibia; Anura; Pelobatidae
Source: the annotation of a GenBank genome assembly
CUUGCUUUUAGGUCAUAUAAGAAUAAAAAAAUGUAAUCUCCAUUUGCGAUUGUUCCAGACAUGUGAGAUGAAAGUGUUUCAAAUAAGAGAGAACAAAUUGUUUCGUAUUGCCACAGGCAAGGUCUGCAGAAGAUAUAGAAUUUGAGGAAGGAUAUUCAUCUUAAGGACAUGUAUUCUACCUAACCAGGUUAUAUGCAGAAGGGCACAAUUUUGUAAAUCUUUAGAGAUCUGUUGUAGGAGUGGCAUGAAUUUAAGGUCCAAGGUUUUGCCGAGGUUAGAGGUCAAUUUUAAUCCCCCAGUAGGUAACGGAAUCUUUGACCCAUUUAAAUGGAAACUUGGUCUGAAGCGAUUGGGACAGUGAGCUAGCAAUAGAGAUGUUCAAUAUUUCGGAUUUGGUAUAGCUGAU